This 253-nucleotide ribosomal RNA is filed under the name uncultured bacterium. RNAcentral describes it as "partial 16S ribosomal RNA". It matches the Rfam family "Bacterial small subunit ribosomal RNA", at positions 524 to 776 of the family's 1533-position model. The record is from RNAcentral.
UACAGGGGGGGCAAGCGUUGUUCGGAAUUACUGGGCGUAAAGGGCUCGUAGGCGGCGUCGUAAGUCAGGGGUGAAAUCCCGGAGCUCAACUCCGGAACUGCCCUUGAAACUGCAAUGCUAGAAUCUUGGAGAGGCGAGUGGAAUUCCGAGUGUAGAGGUGAAAUUCGUAGAUAUUCGGAAGAACACCAGUGGCGAAGGCGACUCGCUGGACAAGUAUUGACGCUGAGGUGCGAAAGCGUGGGGAGCAAACAGG